AACGAACGCUGGCGGCAUGCCUAACACAUGCAAGUCGAACGCCCCGCAAGGGGAGUGGCGAACGGGUGAGUAACGCGUGGGAACCUGCCCAGCAGUUGGGGGAUAACCGCGGGAAACUAGCGGCUAAUACCGAAUACGUCCUAAGGGAGAAAGAUUUAUCGCUGUUGGAGGGGCCCGCGUCGGAUUAGCUAGUUGGUGAGGUAACGGCUCACCAAGGCAUCGAUCCGUAGCUGGUCUGAGAGGAUGAUCAGCCACACUGGGACUUAGACACGGCCCAGACUCCUACGGGAGGCAGCAGUGGGGAAUAUUGGACAAUGGGGGCGAACCCUGAUCCGGCAAUGCCGCGUGAGUGAUGAAGGCCUUAGGGUUGUAAAGCUCUUUUUACCGGGGACGAUGAUGACGGUACCCGGAGAAUAA
RNAcentral lists this ribosomal RNA (417 nucleotides) under uncultured bacterium. RNAcentral describes it as "bacterial SSU rRNA". It matches the Rfam family "Bacterial small subunit ribosomal RNA", at positions 29 to 489 of the family's 1533-position model. The record is from RNAcentral.